UACGUAGGCAGCGAGCGUUGUUCGGAAUUACUGGGCGUAAAGAGUGUGUAGGCGGUGCUCUAAGUUCGGUGUGAAAUCUCCCGGCUCAACUGGGAGGGUGCGCCGGAAACUGGAAUGCUCGAGCGUGGGAGAGGAAAGCGGAAUUCCUGGUGUAGCGGUGAAAUGCGUAGAUAUCAGGAGGAACACCUGCGGUGUAGACGGCUUUCUGGACCAUUGCUGACGCUGAGACACGAAAGCGUGGGUAGCAAACAGG
This 253-nucleotide ribosomal RNA is filed under the name uncultured bacterium. Its description in RNAcentral is "partial 16S ribosomal RNA". It matches the Rfam family "Bacterial small subunit ribosomal RNA", at positions 524 to 776 of the family's 1533-position model. The record is from RNAcentral.